This 246-nucleotide ribosomal RNA is filed under the name uncultured bacterium. RNAcentral's name for it is "partial 16S ribosomal RNA". It matches the Rfam family "Bacterial small subunit ribosomal RNA", at positions 89 to 334 of the family's 1533-position model. The record is from RNAcentral.
UGGCGACCGGCGCACGGGUGAGUAACGCGUAUGCAACUUACCUAUCAGAGGGGGAUAGCCCGGCGAAAGUCGGAUUAAUACCCCAUAAAACAGGGGUCCCGCAUGGGAAUAUUUGUUAAAGAUUCAUCGCUGAUAGAUAGGCAUGCGUUCCAUUAGGCAGUUGGCGGGGUAACGGCCCACCAAACCGACGAUGGAUAGGGGUUCUGAGAGGAAGGUCCCCCACAUUGGUACCGAGACACGGACCAA